UACGGAGGGUGCAAGCGUUAAUCGGAAUUACUGGGCGUAAAGCGUGCGCAGGCGGUUUGUUAAGUCUGUUGUGAGAUCCCCGAGCUCAACUUGGGAAUUGCAAUGGAUACUGGCAGGCUGGAGUAUGGUAGAGGAAGGUGGAAUUCCCGGUGUAGCAGUGAAAUGCGUAGAGAUCGGGAGGAACACCAGUGGCGAAGGCGGCCUUCUGGACCAAUACUGACGCUCAUGCACGAAAGCGUGGGGAGCAAACAGG
This 253-nucleotide ribosomal RNA is filed under the name uncultured bacterium. RNAcentral describes it as "partial 16S ribosomal RNA". It matches the Rfam family "Bacterial small subunit ribosomal RNA", at positions 524 to 776 of the family's 1533-position model. The record is from RNAcentral.